UAAGGAAUAUUGGUCAAUGGACGCAAGUCUGAACCAGCCAUGCCGCGUGAAGGAUGAAGGUCCUCUGGAUUGUAAACUUCUUUUAUAUGGGACGAAACCCGGGUAUUCYURCCCGAUUGACGGUACCAUAGGAAUAAGCACCGGCUAACUCCGUGCCAGCAGCCGCGGUAAUACGGAGGGUGCAAGCGUUAUCCGGAUUCACUGGGUUUAAAGGGUGCGUAGGAGGGYAGGUAAGUCAGUGGUGAAAUCUYCGAGCUUAACUCGGAAACUGCCGUUGAUACUAUCUGUCUUGAAUACCGUGGAGGUGAGCGGAAUAUGUCAUGUAGCGGUGAAAUGCUUAGAUAUGACAUAGAACACCRAUUGCGAAGGCAGCUCACUACACGAAWAUUGACUCUGAGGCACGAAAGCGUGGGGAUCAAACAGGAUUAGAUACCCUGGUAGUCCACGCCCUAAACUAUGGAUACUCGACAUACGCGAUACACUGUGUGUGUCUGAGCGAAAGCAUUAAGUAUCCCACCUGGGAAGUACGACCGCAAGGU
RNAcentral lists this ribosomal RNA (539 nucleotides) under uncultured bacterium. Its description in RNAcentral is "bacterial SSU rRNA". It matches the Rfam family "Bacterial small subunit ribosomal RNA", at positions 355 to 894 of the family's 1533-position model. The record is from RNAcentral.